RNAcentral lists this ribosomal RNA (625 nucleotides) under uncultured bacterium. Its description in RNAcentral is "bacterial SSU rRNA". It matches the Rfam family "Bacterial small subunit ribosomal RNA", at positions 11 to 637 of the family's 1533-position model. The record is from RNAcentral.
GUUUGAUCAUGGCUCAGGAUGAACGCUGGCGGCGUGCUUAACACAUGCAAGUCGAACGGGAAAUAUUUCAUUGAGACUUCGGUGGAUUUGAUCUAUUUCUAGUGGCGGACGGGUGAGUAACGCGUGGGUAACCUGCCUUAUACAGGGGGAUAACAGUCAGAAAUGGCUGCUAAUACCGCAUAAGCGCACAGAGCUGCAUGGCUCAGUGUGAAAAACUCCGGUGGUAUAAGAUGGACCCGCGUUGGAUUAGCUUGUUGGUGGGGUAACGGCCCACCAAGGCGACGAUCCAUAGCCGGCCUGAGAGGGUGAACGGCCACAUUGGGACUGAGACACGGCCCAGACUCCUACGGGAGGCAGCAGUGGGGAAUAUUGCACAAUGGGGGAAACCCUGAUGCAGCGACGCCGCGUGAAGGAAGAAGUAUCUCGGUAUGUAAACUUCUAUCAGCAGGGAAGAUAGUGACGGUACCUGACUAAGAAGCCCCGGCUAACUACGUGCCAGCAGCCGCGGUAAUACGUAGGGGGCAAGCGUUAUCCGGAUUUACUGGGUGUAAAGGGAGCGUAGACGGUGUGGCAAGUCUGAUGUGAAAGGCAUGGGCUCAACCUGUGGACUGCAUUGGAAACUGUC